AUGCCGCACCCCCUCCCUCCUCGGUCUCCCCCUCUCUCCCUCGUCGGCUGCCACAACACGAAGCCAGGAAUCCUCCCCCUCCUUCUCCCUUGCAUGUGUGUGCCCGUCGUCGCCUUCCCCCCUCUUCCCCAUCGUUGCCCCAAUGCCUCCAUGGGCUACAACAGAUCUAUGGCUGAUGGGAGGGUACGAGGUAGAGAAGGACGCGUCGUCGGCCCGUCACUUAGGCUGGUGAAGCACAGGUCAGGUCUGGGCGCAACGACCGGCGCCUGCGGGCAGGGUCGGCCGUGGAGGGAGGCUCGCCGGCCGGAGAAGCAGGAGCAAGGAGGUGGAGCUCCUCCUUCAACCUGUGUGUGUGAUUUCUUCCUUUUCUAUGAAUGCACAAAUCUGAAGCUUUUUUUGGUUGCCUCAUCCAGCUUUCUUCUGAAGUGUGCAGAUUGUUAUUCCUUAUCAGGAAGGACAAUAUUCAUUUGA
Molecule: ribosomal RNA, 471 nt
Filed under: Triticum aestivum (bread wheat)
Lineage: Eukaryota; Viridiplantae; Streptophyta; Magnoliopsida; Poales; Poaceae
Description: partial small subunit ribosomal RNA
Source: RNAcentral